GUCAGAGCGCUAGGUCAGGCGUCUGGGGGAUGUGGGACAGCAACCUGCUGUAGUUACACUACCUUUUAAAAUAUUUUUGCCCCCUAUGCUAGAUAUUUUUUAUACCUUUGAUUUAGAAGUACAAGAAAAAAUAAAUAAGAAGAGGCAUGAUUAUCAUAUAUAUAUAUAGUGCCUUGAGAGAAGUACAACCAGUGCUAGAGUCCCAUUCUGUUUUCUUUAUAUAAUGUUAAGUGACUUUCAGUGAAAGCACAUCUAUGGCUUAAAUUUCUUUUGGUUAAAUUAUAUGUAGGACUAGGAUUGUCAAAAAACAAACUACCAUACCAAAAUCAAUACUCAGCACCUAAUUGUUGCUAAAAAAUUACUAGCAGAGCAAGCACCAGCAGCUGUCCUCGACUCCUCCAGCUGACACAAAGAUGCUGCAGACAGGCAGGCGCGCUGCCCCCUCCUCUCACUGGCAGUAGCUGACCUUCACAAUGCUGAACAACACUUCAUGAGGAAUUUUGAGAGGAUGAGGAGAGGGGUGUUGCUCGACUUGACUAUAAAAUGCGUACAUAUUUAUGAGCAGAUGCCACGACACCGCAGUGAAGCCUGGGUAUUCUAGUUUUGUUGGGAAGCCCAUAUGGUCUUGACUAAUAACUGACUCCUGCACAAUACUGUGAGCUUCAGUGACUGACAGAGGGCCAAAACCGCUCCAGUGUUCCAGAUGGUGGACCUCAAACGCCUGCGUAUUAUUCCAAAUGGCAACAAACUAAAGAAAUAACCGCAGCACCAGUCACAAGAGCCCUCAGGAGUUUAAUUUUGUUUUAAUUAAUACUUUGGAAUUUUUUGGAAAUAUUCUGUUUGCUUGCUUGCUAAGAAAAUGAACAUCACUACAAUACAUGACUACACUAAACCUUUCUCGUCACCAGACAGCAAAGCAUGCUAAAAUGGUCUUUAGACUGCCAGCUACAGUUAUUGGAAAAAGAAAGUACACCCUCUGUUGAUUUUAAUUUUUGAUAUAUUAUAAGAAUAAAAGAGUCCUUAGAAGGUCAUGUAAAUACAAGCUGAGGUAACCAAGGUGGUAUAUUACAUUGUGUCAUUAUUUAUUUAAUAAAAGUU
Molecule: long non-coding RNA, 1098 nt
Organism: Oreochromis aureus
Lineage: Eukaryota; Metazoa; Chordata; Actinopteri; Cichliformes; Cichlidae
Exons: 3
Source: RefSeq, a predicted model, not a curated record